GACGAACGCUGGCGGCGUGCUUAACACAUGCAAGUCGAACGGAAAGGCCUGCUUGCAGGGUACUCGAGUGGCGAACGGGUGAGUAACACGUGGGUGAUCUGCCCUGCACUUCGGGAUAAGCCUUGGAAACUGGGUCUAAUACCGGAUAGGAGCCAUUUUUAGUGUGAUGGUUGGAAAGUUUUUUUCGGUGUAGGAUGAGCUCGCGGCCUAUCAGCUUGUUGGUGGGGUAAUGGCCUACCAAGGCGGCGACGGGUAGCCGGCCUGAGAGGGUGGACGGCCACAUUGGGACUGAGAUACGGCCCAGACUCCUACGGGAGGCAGCAGUGGGGAAUAUUGCACAAUGGGCGCAAGCCUGAUGCAGCGACGCCGCGUGGGGGAUGACGGCCUUCGGGUUGUAAACUCCUUUCGCUAGGGACGAAGCUUUUUGUGACGGUACCUAGAUAAGAAGCACCGGCUAACUACGUG
This 465-nucleotide ribosomal RNA is filed under the name uncultured bacterium. Its description in RNAcentral is "partial 16S ribosomal RNA". It matches the Rfam family "Bacterial small subunit ribosomal RNA", at positions 28 to 507 of the family's 1533-position model. The record is from RNAcentral.